Unclassified non-coding RNA from Erinaceus europaeus (western European hedgehog), 315 nucleotides. Its record names the gene 7SK. It matches the Rfam family "7SK RNA". Rfam says of the family: 7SK was discovered as an abundant small nuclear RNA in the mid-70s but a possible function has only recently been suggested. Two independent studies have found that 7SK RNA binds the CDK9/cyclin T complex (known as elongation factor P-TEFb). The record is from Ensembl. Lineage: Eukaryota; Metazoa; Chordata; Mammalia; Eulipotyphla; Erinaceidae.
GGUUGUGAGGGCUAUCUGGCUGCAACAUCUGUCACCCCAUUGAUCCUCAGGGUUGAUUCGGCUCAUCUGGCUGGCUAGGCGGGUGUCCCCUUCCUCUUUCAAAGCUCCAUGUGUAUCCCUCCCAAAGCUAUGUGCUUGACCAAAAAACGAUGGCCUUCCCUGAAGAGAGACGGGCUGGUCUUCAGUCGAGGGUAUACGAGUAGAUUCUCUCCCCAGCUGGAACCUCCAAACAAGUUCUCAAGUUCUAGGUAGAGUCCUGAAUCAGACAUAUGCUUUUUAAAUGUUUUCCCUAUCCUGUGAAAUUUAUUUAUUUAU